UUAUCCCCUUUGUGACUCUUUACUGUUCUCUGAGCCUCCCCAUUUCCCUGCUUUGAAGGGCUGCUGGGAAGUUGUUGGGUUGGUUAACUGUACAUCCAUCCGCUUUAUACAGAUGACCUUUAUUAUAAGGGGACAUCUGAAUUAGCAUAAGCUGUAAUCAAAACAACUCUGGCAUGUGUUUGGUGUCUGCUGCUCUUCUCCUCCUCCUCAUCCUUCCUUUUGAAGUUUUUGAUCCUCUGUGGAUAUUUCGGUUCAGGCAUUUUCUGGUGAGCUGUCAGAACGUUGCAUGCAUGUCAUACUUUUACCAUUAACGGUAUUAGACUGUAUUCCACAGUUUCACCGCCAGCUGGAUGUCUCCCGCUGAACAUUUCACAGCACCACCUUAAGAACAGAGAAGGCACUCUGACAAAUCUUUGUAACGUGGAUCUGUGAAACAUAGUAAAGUUUAAUUUGUCUCCUGACCCGUGGGGAUUCCUUACCCUGUGCGCCAGACCGCUGGUAUGCACCUCAGCACAGCUCCACUCCUCUGGCCUCGACCUAAUCCCUCGUCAUCAGCUGUUUCCUGGCUCUCCGCAUGCCAUUCGCCCAUGAGAAAAUGUGCUUCAAAUUAUGACCAUGCAGAAAACAUGCCGGCAGUCUGAUUUGGCUCACAUGUGUGGAUGUGUAACAGCCUGAGCUUGGCAGCGUGUUUUUGAAACACAUUGAUCCCAUUCUGUCCUUGUGUGAUUCAUUGCUCGUGACAUGGACACACACCUGUUCAGCCAUCGUGCCCGGAAGACCAGUGAGGCUUUGUUUACAUCUGGAUGAAGUAUGGAGUUUGGAGUCUUUUCAGAUACAGCGGCCUCUGAGUCACUUAUUGGGUGAUUCAUAAUUCAUUCUUCAUACUUGUGAGCUGAGCUGUUCUCUCUUUGGAGGUCCAGUGGUCUACAUGGAUCGAAGAGGCCCUCGCUAAUAGAUCAUUGUGCUUUGACACUCAUCAUACAGCUUUAAUGAUCAGAACUAAGUAGUGGUGUGAUACAGCAUCCUGUACGGCUGCACGUCCAUCUGGCCUCCCCCUCAUUCCCUCCUUCUCUCCCUCCCUCCCACUCACAUAAAGCUGACAGGCAGCUGCAUCUCCUCUCCAGCCAGAGUUUACGUCCACCCCUGCAGGACAACUCCGGGAGGAAGGAUUUCUUUUUGAAUUGUACAUGAAAAUGAAUUUACUCAAAUAAAAGAGAAGGGAAUAAUGUUCCACUGCUUAUACUUCUCUUUUCCCUCUCUUUUAGCUAUUAAUGUUCAUUAACAAAACCUGCAAACACAAAGCCCUUCUACUGUAUGUUCACGGUCACACUUUUCUUUAAGUUUAAAGGAUUUAUAUCAUUUAUAACUAAUAUUGACCAUUCAAACUUUAAGUUGAGUACCGCUCAUUUAGUCGUGAAUAUUUCGUGACAUACAGAAUUACAUCAGCACCUUUUAAACUUGCCAAUAAAGACGUUAUUUCUAGUUUCUUUAAUCCGUAUGAAGAACUAAGUGCAAAAAGGACAACUUGCCAACGGUCCGUAGCCAACUGUCUCCCCCAGUUUCCAGUCCAAGUAUUAAAGUAAGCCGACUGACAGCUGGCUCCAGCUUCAUUUUUAGCAAUUAGACAUGGGAGUAUUGAUCUUCUCAUGUAUUUGACAACAUUUAAAACCAAGUAGUUUUGCUUGAAAUACAAUAUUUUUAUACACUGGCAUUAUUACUUUUAGACUCCUUAUUUACACAUAUAACGUUAAAGGAUAUGCAACUGAAUAUGGAAAAAUCCAGAUAAGGGUUAACUAACCCUAACCCUUAAGCAGGAAGUUGCGGUCUCCACCAAAUUCUUUUAAACAUCGCUUAAUCUCACUGGAGUUUGUGUUGUCCAACACAAACAAGCUUGAAUUGCCGAUUCGGUGAAGUUAGACAUGAGGUAGAAAUAAAAAACAGCCUUUGCUUUUACAAGAUACAAUCAUUUCACACAAUGGAAUAUGGGGGCUUUACAAAUUCAUCUCAUGGUUUUGUGCUAUUUUUAUGGAAAGUACGAACAUCAUUGAGCAUAGAAAACAACAGCCAAGUGAGCAAUUCCAGGAUUGUUUUACAGCAAGUGUCAAAGAUAACAUAAGUUAACUCCACACGUUGGAUAAAUUAUCACCCAGAUUGAUGCUUCUCUGUCCGCCCCCCUCCCCCUUUGCUCUUUCUUACAACACAAUAAAGUCCAGGGAAACCAGUGGAAUUUAAAGCCAGUCUGGCCUAAUUGUGUUCAGCUGUUUCUGUUUCUUUCCUUCGGGGGUGCCGCAGUGAAGGCUGCAAGCGUGUGUAGGCGUCCGCCCGUUUCUCAUGGGGGAACGUUGGGGGGCUCGUGCCCUCACGUGUUAGUGUGUUCGGCCGGUGCGCAGGAAGAAGGAGGGAGCGGAGUGGGAGGAUGUGGCGCUGCUUAUGCCAGCAAAUCUAUCUGAUGUCCCUGUAUUCCUUAUGAGCAGUUUGAGCACACAUAUAAUUACCUCUCUGUUAGUAAACCAAAGGCUUGCUGCUCAGGAAAACGGGAAAAAUGAACACAACUUCAAUGACUGCUUUAGUUUUUUGACAUCUUAAUUAUUUUUCCAUCAUUUAGUCCUCAAGUGAGUAGAAAAUUAGAUCAUCAAACUGAAAUCAAACACUUGCCACAUCAAAAGCUUUCAUUGUACAACCGUCAGUUUUACCCAGAAGCCCUUUAGAUCUCCCCCCCCCGCCGCCACUACAAACAGCAUUUACAACUCUGUUUGAGCGGGAGCAAACCGAAGUCCACAGUUUCCCAAACAUGUGCAGCCUCAGCAUGAGCAGAGUCGCUGUGUUUUGUUGAGUAAAGACUGCUCAUAGUAACUGUGUCUCGAUACUGAACCAAAUGAAACCAGGGCGAGUUUCACAAACAGGAAGAAUGACUUUUCGAAUGCACCUCUCAGUCUGAUAUUGCAAACUCGAGAUGGCUCAAGUGCAGCUUCAAGCUCUAAAGUUACAACAACUACUGAGAGAUGAGAUGUGAAAGAUGAGAUGUGAGAGAUGUGAGAGAUGAGAGAUAUGAGAUGUGAGAGAUGAGAUGUGAGAGAUGAGAUGUGGGAGAUAUGAGAGAUGUGAAAGCUGAGAUGUGAGAGAUGUGAGAGAUGUGAGAGAUGAGAUGUGAGAGAUGAGAGAGAUGCGAGAGAUGUGAUGUGAGAGAUGAGAGAGAUCUGAGAGAUGAGAUGUGAGAGAUGAGAGAGAUGAGAGAGAUGUGAGAGAUGAGAUGUGAGAGAUGUGAGAGAUGAGAUGAGAGAGAUGUGAGAGAUGAGAUGUGAGAGAUGAGAGAGAUGUGAGAGAUGAGAUGUGAGAGAUGAGAUGAGAUGUGAGAGAUGAGAUGUGAGAGAUGUGAGAGAUGAGAUGUGAGAGAUGAGAUGAGAGAGAUGAGAGAGAUGUGAGAGAUGAGAUGUGAGAGAUGAGAUGUGAGAGAUGAGAUGUGAGAGAUGAGAGAUGUGAGAGAUGAGAUGUGAGAGAUGAGAGAGAUGAGAUGUGAGAGAUGAGAGAGAUGUGAGAGAUGAUAUGAGAUGUGAGAGAUGUGAGAGAUGAGAGAGAUGUGAGAGAUGAGAUGUGAGAGAUGUGAUGUCUGAGAACUCACAAACUAGAAGGUUGUUGUAUCUCUUUUUAUAUCAUUAAAGAUGGAUUAUUAUGAUCCAAACACAGGCUUAAUUAGACUGCACAGAUUUCCUGUUUACAGUAACAGGUUCUGACAGCAGGUUGACAGGAUGGGGGCUUUCCCAGCUGAAAGUGCCUUUUACUCAUGAGUUUCGGCGUCAUUACUCCAUCUCUGGUAAUUCACGGUACAUGUGUUAACCGUGUUAGGGGACGGCGGGGUACAGGGCAGCGUGGGUCUGCUUCUGAGGGACCAGAAGGUUUUCCUCGGGGGGGUUGUUCUGUCUUGGAGGAGUGCUAAAAAAAAAAAAAGUUUGUUUUAACUAAGACAUUCCGGGUCAUUGUUUUCCCACAGAGCGCGCCGGAAUCUGUCAGGAAAAAACAAUCACCCCUCUAAAACCAAAAAAAAGAAGAGUAUUGCACGUUGAUUCAUUCUGCAUUGCAGCUAUUCUAGUGGCAUGAUUUAGAAUAGCUCCUAAUAAAGUGGCAGUAACAGACUGUCUGAUGUGAGCUGUAACUGUUUGCAUUGGAAAGAAGACACCGCUAAAUAUGAGAUGUUUGUUUUGGAGAUCACAGCUUCCUGGGUCCUUCAGCAGAGUAAACAUCACACUCGCUCUGCUCUCUCACUCCGUGCUUUGAUGUGACUUUUUCUCUAAAUUGUAUUCUGUUUGGCUGCAUGCUGCCUUUGUCGUCUUUUCCACUGUCUGGUGCUGUGUGCAGUCCUCUUGUGGUGUGUUGAUGGUUUGUCAUCCUUUGUCAUUGCUCUAAUUGCUCUGUUUUUGCAUGUUGAUUGUUUUUCUUUCUUUUUCCUUUGUUUUUGUUUUUCCCCUCAUUCCUGAGUGUGACUAUGCAUGUUUUAUGUGCAGCUUGUUAUUCAAAGCAGUUUUUCUCCUUGUAUAAGUGUCAUUGUGUGCAGAUCGUCAUGGAGGCAUCCCGUGUUGUCUCCAUGGGUAUUUGGUUAGUGUCACUGAUGCAUUACAGCCUUACACCCACACACCCAUACAGGAAGUCAGAGCUCUCCAGCUGCACUCAGGCCUUUUGGAUGUCUUUCUCUUUUCUUUUUUUUUCGGUUAUAGAUUACAGCCGCCCCACACCCCUUUCUUUCUCCUUCUAACUGCGACCCCCUUGGGACAAGCUUGAGCAAAUAGUUGGCUGCAAGUGGGGUUCACGAAGCAGUUCCCACCUCAUCCAGGAGUUCUUUAUCACUGCCAGAUGUUAAAAUAAAACACGCAGCUACAGUAUAUAUAGACAAUCUCGGAAGUGGGAUUACAGGCUGCAGUGGGGUUGCGUGGGCCGCCCGUGUCCCGCUGAGGUCCAUUUUGGCAUUCUUCCUCAUUAGCCUGUGACACAUAGAGUGUAGCAGCUUGUUUAUCGAAACAAGGCAGGGUCAAUCAGCCACCAGAUUCCCAGCAUCUGUGGGAAAAGGUCUGCAGUGGGAUAGUUUAUCCAUCGUAGUGAUUACUGCGCCACUGCUUACAUAAGGACUUUUUGAUUUGGACCUCCACGGUCAUUGCAGGACUGGAGUGUCCCAUUUCAAAGAUAGCAAAGACAACAACUAACAUGUGUGUUAGGAAAAUGUUUUCAGAUCCUUUCAUCUAAAAGAUGAUCCGAAUGAGAUUCACUUUACUCAUGGAUAUAAUAACUGUUUAUUUCUGUAAAUUGCCUCAACCACCACUCUGUUGUCUACUUUUGGUUUUAGUGGCCAUCAUCCAGCUUUAAUAAGUGAGAAAGGAGUCGCUGAGAUGCUGCCAAGUCUUCCUGGAAGGUUCACUGGUGUCCAGACAACAAAGGACCACAAAACAGCCAUUUCUUUCUCAGAUGCUUUCAAAACUUCCCAUAAGUGUCUCCUUGCACCAAGACUAUUACUUUUAAAGUCCUGAUAUUAGCAUGUUCUUAAAUCUGGGAGCAAAUCUUGCUUAUAGUGUUCAUUCUCCAAACUCUGGCUCCCUUUGGCCCUCUGAUCCUAGUCAGCACAUCCUAUUUUAAGGGUCCGAUUCCUUCUCUGUUCAUGGGUCAACAUGGAACCUCAUCGUGUUGCAGUAGCCAAACAUUAUUUUUCCGUCCUUUUCAAAGACUCCAAAAUAAUAUUUGAACAGACUGAGAUUCUUGUUCAGUUUUCUGCUGAAUGUAUAUCCUGCUGCAGUUAUCUAAUGUUUCUCUUUGGCCGUGGCAGAAAUAGCACCGGCAGCCAUUUACGAAAUCAUGUGUUGGUCCUCGUUCUGCCAAGUACUGGCCAAGCGCAUCUGGCUGUUGUCGCUCAAAAGGCUCAUCCCCGACAGCGAGGCUGCUGGUUCCCAUAAACUCUGAUGUGUGGCUUCCUCAGUAAACGUUCCCUCCGUGCCUGUUGCUCGGGUCCACAGGGAUAAGGUGAACCCUCCCCCAAC
Gasterosteus aculeatus aculeatus (three-spined stickleback) is the source of this 6017-nucleotide long non-coding RNA. Lineage: Eukaryota; Metazoa; Chordata; Actinopteri; Perciformes; Gasterosteidae. The record is from Ensembl.